Belonocnema kinseyi is the source of this 1907-nucleotide long non-coding RNA. RefSeq lists it as uncharacterized. NCBI's taxonomy places the organism in Eukaryota, Metazoa, Arthropoda, Insecta, Hymenoptera, Cynipidae. The record is from RefSeq and is a predicted model, not a curated record. The transcript has 3 exons.
AAACGAACGGACCGGGAACGCUGUUGUGACGAACGGUCAAAUUGAAAAUGCGAAACGUACGUAGUAGUUAUCCGCGAAAUAAAUUUUCAAGAGGCAGCCAGAACUGAAUGUGAGUGUCCGAACUGUCAUAUUUUCUGAUUCCCGAAUGCUGUCGAAUUUCAGUUAUUUUUGUGAUAUAAGUUUUGUGAAUUGUGAGAGAAAAGAUUAAUCAUCGUGGGAUUUGCACGAUGAGGUUAUCGCAGUUCACUGGCUCGGAUCUCGGUUAGGAAUUCAAGUUGGAAGCAUCCACGACAACGCCGAAAAGUAUGUAUGACCUUCUUGAAAAUACUGAAAGUACAGCCCGUGUAAGUUGGAUUAACUGAAACAAAUAUAAGGAUAUUUCAGUGGGUGCUGUCGCACCUUCUGUCUCUGAAAGUUAUUUCGUCGUACAACAUUUGCCUAAAGGAAAAAAUUAUACGUUAACACAAAUACACUAUAUUGGAACCCUCAAUAGUAAAGAUGGUCUUUACAAAAUUACCUACAUUAUAAAUCAAAUUGUGGAAUCCACGUUAUAAGAACCGCAACGUAAAUACGAUGUCUUCGCUGGAAAAAUACACAGGCGAUUCUGAAUAGAGGCUCAUAAAAGCAGCGAAUAAUUCAUCGAAGCAAAAUUGGAAAUGCAGGAGGAUCCACGGAGAGUAUUGAAAAUGCUCAAGAGCGAAUUUAAAUAAUAGGUUGGGGACUGUACUUAAAAUAAGUAACAGCUGAAGGGAAAGAACAUAUAAUCCGUUAAGAAUUUUAAGUGAGGUCCUUUGAGUGUGUGCUAAGAUAGUAUUCGUAGUUCUUAUGCAUCUUUAGCGAAUCUUCAUUAAUUUUCUGCAAGAUAUAUUUUAUUGGUAUGCAUAAUUGCCUGUUAUCUCACUAACGCUGAGCGCGCGUCUUUCGGAUCUCACUCUUUGUACUCGAUUUUGUCGAAAGUAGUAACUAUUCUACGGUAUGUUCAAUAGGGUACGUAGAAUAUAAGUUUUAUUUGAAAGUCGAAGUUUUGAAGAUAAUCCAAAAUGGUACAUAAUAAUUUUUAAAAAUAUUUCUUUAAGUAUUAUUUUAAUGCAUCUUUUAGGAUGCUUAUCCUUUUGCGAGCAAUUUUGAUGUUUUCAAUAGAGUUUUUUAUGUUCAUGGUUGCAUUUUUUAAUUUUUUCCAUGGCUAGGAAACAUCUGUUUCUACGUAUGAAAAUUAGUCCACAUGAUUAUUUCAGAUUUUUAAAACGAUAUCUUCAGUUAGCAAAAACUGUUUGAAGUUCGAAACUUUGAAAACAGUGAUUUUUUAAAUAUAUUUCAAUGUGCGGUCACCAUUUGUUCAUCGAAUUAGCUUUUAUUGUACAAAUUCAUUUAUUUUGAUGUAACAAACGAUUUUUGAAACAUUUUAUUGUUAAAAAAAUUCUGGUGAUGAAUCUAGUUACGUAGAAUAGAAGUUUUUUUGGAAAUCGAAUUUUCGAAUAUAAUCGAAAAUGGUAGGGCCUGAAAAUAAAUAUAAGUCUUUUCCUUCUGAAGUUGACUGAAUCUUCAGGUUCUAAAAGGCCCUUUGGAAAGGAUUUUUUUUAAAUAUAUAAAAAAUAUCACUCUUUUCAAAGUUUCACGCUUCAACAAGUUUCUGCUAACUGAAGAUAUCGUUUUCAAAAUCUGAAAAAAAUCAUGAAAACUCAUUUUGAUAUAUAGAAAAACAUUUUUCCUUGUCAUAAUCGAAAUUUGAAAAUGUAGUUUUUUCAGCCCACCCUAAUGUUUAACUGUAUUAUAUUAAACAUAUAGGAUAUUCAUUUCUGUAAAUGGGUCUGGAGCUACUUAUCCCAAAAUUGCAAAAUAAUGAACAAAUUUUAUUUUUCCUGGUACUUUACUAUUCAUACUUCAGUAUGUGUUAAUUUUUAUUCUCA